UGCCUGGUAGUGGGGGAUAACGUUCGGAAACGGACGCUAAUACCGCAUACGUCCUACGGGAGAAAGCAGGGGACCUUCGGGCCUUGCGCUAUCAGAUGAGCCUAGGUCGGAUUAGCUAGUUGGUGAGGUAAUGGCUCACCAAGGCGACGAUCCGUAACUGGUCUGAGAGGAUGAUCAGUCACACUGGAACUGAGACACGGUCCAGACUCCUACGGGAGGCAGCAGUGGGGAAUAUUGGACAAUGGGCGAAAGCCUGAUCCAGCCAUGCCGCGUGUGUGAAGAAGGUCUUCGGAUUGUAAAGCACUUUAAGUUGGGAGGAAGGGUUGUAGAUUAAUACUCUGCAAUUUUGACGUUACCGACAGAAUAAGCACCGGCUAACUCUGUG
This 385-nucleotide ribosomal RNA is filed under the name Pseudomonas sp. RNAcentral's name for it is "bacterial SSU rRNA". It matches the Rfam family "Bacterial small subunit ribosomal RNA", at positions 127 to 507 of the family's 1533-position model. The record is from RNAcentral. Lineage: Bacteria; Pseudomonadati; Pseudomonadota; Gammaproteobacteria; Pseudomonadales; Pseudomonadaceae.